CAACAUGCUAGGCUCUUCUUUUCCGGGUUAAAUACCACCAAGUGCCUUAAUUUUUCAACAAUAAAUUAUAUUUUGGAUUCUAUAUAUUAUUGUUUAAAGUCACUUCCUCAUUGAUAAAAAGUGGGAACAUAAAAGCCAAGAACUUUUUCCCAUGACAUGUUUUGGUGAUCUACUCUCAAAAUGAUAUUACUUAAUAUGCUUUCUUCUAUUAAAGGACUUCACUUUGAGAAAAGUCAAUGUUCAUAAUCAGUAGUACACACUAAAUGAUUUAGAACGGAUAAAAUCAAAUGGGGGUUUUGGCUGUUACUACAUGGGAGUGACUGUCAUUUCUUUCCAGCAUGAAUCUAUAGAACGCAGUUUCUGGAACAGCAAACUCUCUGUAACAAUGACCUUGAUUCUAGAAGAUAAACAGCUUUGGGAUGUCUAGUUCCAUUUGGACAGAAUUCUAGAAGAGGAAAAUAAAAGGCUACAAAGUAAGGAAGUCAAACCUGCCUUCGGGGAAGAUAAACAUGCUGACUGGAUGCAUUUGGCUUCUUUUUGGGAGUGAAAGGUUUCAGCAACCUGGAGCCCCCACAGCUGUGGAGACCCUGCUUCUAUGAACUUCCCCUCUCCACGAUGCUGCACAACAGCUUCGUACACCCAGCCGAUUUUGCAGAGAGCAAGCACAACUUAACUAGAGCCUGGGAGGAUAAUCUCAGAAUGAAUUAUUCACCACUGAGACAAUUGUGGCUGCACAGAGGGAAUACAGAUGCCCCCUGUGGGGCUACAUCUCACCAACUUCCUUAUUCAGUUUUAAUGCGCUUUCCAGCCCUCGAAUCACAGACACCCCACACUCAGCCUUCCGUGCUGCACUCACUGAUCUACUAGUUACAAAGCAUUGCACAUUGCAUCACUCACUCAUCUACAGUUCACGGAAUACCUGCAAUCUUCUCACCAGGACACCUGGCUAUGCCCCGUCAGUGGGGGAGUAGCUUAGCACAAUGACUGAAUGCAGAGGCUCUGGAACUGGACUGCUGGAAUUUGAUCCCAGGUCUCAGAUUUAAAACUCGAUUUCCGCCCCCCUCAAAAUCUGUGCAUUUAGAUAUCAUCUGUCACGUGACACGUGGAGGGCAAAUGAUAGAAAACCUCAAAGGGGAUAUUUCCCUGCACGUGAUCAUGCACAGAAAACAGCUUUCCUUUUUCUUCUCUUCUCAGUCUUCCUGAAAAUGCUAGCAACAGCACACUCUUCAUGUUCCCAAACACCCUAUUUCCUCCACCCCAGAGGUGCUCACUGGGGCUCAUCUAUUCACCUCACGUGCAAGAUGAAGAGGGCAAUUUUAUGUAGUAAAGAUAUAUGGGACAAGCCAACCUCAAGUUCACGUCCGUUAAAGCAUUUCUCUGUUGGCAACAUUUUUACAAGCCUCUCACAGCUAUAUGCUUAAUUAAAAUAAAAGGGUGAUAUACA
This is a long non-coding RNA of Herpailurus yagouaroundi (jaguarundi), 1444 nucleotides long. RefSeq lists it as uncharacterized. The record is from RefSeq and is a predicted model, not a curated record. NCBI's taxonomy places the organism in Eukaryota, Metazoa, Chordata, Mammalia, Carnivora, Felidae. The transcript has 2 exons.